AUGGUGUGAACCCGGGAGGUGGAGCUUGCAGUGAGCCGAGAUGAUGGCGUCACUGCACUCCAGCCUGGGCGACGGAGCGAGAGUCCGUCUCAAAAAAUAAAUAAAUAAAAGAACUUGAAUUUAAGUUGCGCUAUAGCGCUUGUAAAGUUAAAAAUGCACAAGCCAAUUCCCACUGCAGCCUUCGCACAGCCUGUCCUACCAAGACUACACAGCACUGUAAAAUACCUCAAUGGCAAUGAAUACAAAAGACACCUGCAUUGACAGCUUUCACAUCCUACCAUCAAGGCACUCCCAGUGUGAAGACUUUCUAAUGGAAUUCAGAAUAAGAUUGGAGUGUUACCCAUUUCAUUUCAACUCUUAGUAGUUGCCAAUGAUGCCUUCUGUAGCGGCUCUGAAGAAGGCGAGGUGAGGAUCUCCUAAGGGAGGAAGCUGGGAUUCCAAAGGCAGUAUAAAGCCAAGCACAUGUGGACAGUCCCCCACGAGAUGAAAGUGGAAACAGCAAACCAACUAGUAUUCACAACUUCUCCUUUCAUAAUAUAAAAAUGAGUAAGAUGGUAAGCUGUCUUUGAGGGUAUUUAAUAUUGGGUGGCUAAUCUUAGACGAUAUUCUUUGAUAUCGUAGGACUUGUGAGUGACGAAGGAUGAAGAGGAAAGCCUUACUUUCUGGAAUAGCUUCUUAGUCACUGCCUAAAGUUCAUUCUCUGCUCGCCCCCAAUCUCCCCAGCAGGCCCUUCCACGUGGGGGUGUAGUUGACAUGGGGCCCCACUUUCUGCCCGGCCUGGCUUGAUCUGGGGUCACAGCACUCAUGAGCUCUGCUGUCCCUCGCCUCUUGGGAGAAGCGUGCUUGCGAGCUUGUGACAGAUGGAAGCUCAGUAGUGAGUUCCUCCAUCCUUCCCUGAUUUCUCCCAAUCUCCAGGGAACAGACUUGCUGCUGGGCUGUUGGAGGGCUGGCUCGAGGAGUAGCUACAUUUUUGGUCUUGGAGAUAGUUCUGCGAUGCUUUCUAGAACUCUCUUAACUCCAAGUUGGCAAGUGUUGAGUCACUGAGAAAGCUGCCAUGCCAGCAUCCUGAGACCCUCUUGUGAUACAGCUGCCUGGGUGAUUCUUCAGCCUCGGGGCGGGCGUGGCAUUGGUUCUUCUCAGAGGGGAAGGAAGGUGUUCUCUCCACCCCCUGGAGUUCAGUAAUUGAGUCUGAAAUAAACUGACAGUAGGCAGGUUAACAGAAGAGCUUAGAUGAAUUUUUCACGUGCAUGGGAGCAUCACACUGAAGAGCCGAUACCUCCAAACCCAGUGAGAUGGAGAAGCUUCUGUACUCCCUCACAGGGGACAGGGAAGGGGAUGGGGGCAACUUAGGGGAGGGUAAAUGAACUUAGCCCUCGGAAGAACAGGUGACACCGCAACAGAGUAUCCAGGUGUGACGUGUGAGCCUUCGGUUCCCUGGUGGAUGAGGUUCCCCCGGGAGGGGUUCAUGGCAGUUGAGGUCCUUCUGGAGGAUCUGUCUUUGGGCAUAUGAAGAUGUCCAGAGAAAGCCCCUCCCAGCAUUUGCCAUUCCACAACUCCCCUCAGUUCAGUGCAGCAUAGAUUGAGGUGGCAUUUCCUGAACUCCUUUGCUGUCAUACCUGGUUUGUUCAGGUCCCAUGUUUGUUGUUAUAGGGGUGACUUAUUUCUGGGGGAGCUGGUGCCAAAACACCAGCUGUGCUUAGUGUGGGGAGGAAGGGCCAGGCAGGUGCUUGGUGGGCAGCACAGGGCAGGCAGGGGCUUCGGGGAGGGCAGCAAGGCUGUAAACUGCCUUCAGGAACUGGGACAUGUUUCUGUGGAGGGUUCCAGAAGGAGAUGAAAAGCAAUGAGCCAGCAAGAGGGAAAGUCCCAGCAACUCAAAGCCAAGCAAAUGGCCUCUUUUUUUUUUUUUGGGACAGAGUCUCGCUCUGUCGC
RNAcentral lists this long non-coding RNA (1929 nucleotides) under Homo sapiens (human). RNAcentral describes it as "HSALNT0247770". The record is from RNAcentral. Lineage: Eukaryota; Metazoa; Chordata; Mammalia; Primates; Hominidae.